CUACUACAAAAGAUUACCAAAAAGCAGACAGACCCAGGCUAAACAAUUCAAGUUUGUUGUUGCCAAGGCCCUGGAAAUCCCAACAUUGCUCCUGGAGACGUUGACUCCCGGGUAUGCUGUCUGGAGGAGAGGGUUCUACACAGGCUGUCAGGACAUCUCCGAGUUCCUGGAAAAAUAUAGAAGUCAACCUCAAACGAAAGAAGCUUUCAUUGACCUGAUUCAAAUGACAUCAAUGCUACUGAUCGACUUGAGGAAGUUUAUUUUACGCGGGCAAUCCACCAGGGCAGAGGGAAGUGUCACCCAGGAGGACAACUACUUCAAAUUUGAGGACUUCGUUAGAUUUAUUAUGGAUCACUUUGUCCUUGAGGCAUCCAGAAACCUACUUGAGAGACUCGUUAAUGCUCCAAGUCGCUUACGGUUGCUGUAUGCAUCCAGAAUGAGGACACACGCAGCAGAGAUGCCCUUCCUUCCACAGCCUUGUUAGAGUCUGACACAGACACUGAGGCCGUCUCAGUCUCAGAGUACUCCAUCUCAGAGUCAGACACCUCAGUGUCCACUUCCCGCCUGCCUGAGGACAACCUCCGGUCCCAGGACUGUGGUGGACACAGUGGGACUCUGUGCCCUGGACAAGGGGGCAGUGUUCUGGCAAAGAGAGGAGUCACUGAAACCCUGAUCAGCUCCAGCAGCAGCAGCAGCAGAAACAGUAGCUGCAGCAGUAUCACUAGUGAGAUGAGUAGGCCUCACAGUACCUCCACCUGCUCUGUGAAAGAUCUUCCUACUGAGAGACCACAUGUGUCCUCCUCCAGCCUUUCCACCAGGCCAGAGGAGGCUGUUGCAACUCUAGCCAUGAGCUCCCACGAGG
Clupea harengus (Atlantic herring) is the source of this 862-nucleotide long non-coding RNA. Lineage: Eukaryota; Metazoa; Chordata; Actinopteri; Clupeiformes; Clupeidae. The record is from Ensembl.